UUCCUGGUGGCUUAGAUGGUAAAGAAUCUGCUUGCAAUGCAGAAUACCUGGGUUCAAUCUCUGGGUUGGGAAG
Molecule: transfer RNA, 73 nt
Filed under: Bos taurus (domestic cattle)
Lineage: Eukaryota; Metazoa; Chordata; Mammalia; Artiodactyla; Bovidae
Also listed under: 5 other names
Rfam family: tRNA
About the family: Transfer RNA (tRNA) molecules are approximately 80 nucleotides in length. Their secondary structure includes four short double-helical elements and three loops (D, anti-codon, and T loops). Further hydrogen bonds mediate the characteristic L-shaped molecular structure. tRNAs have two regions of fundamental functional importance: the anti-codon, which is responsible for specific mRNA codon recognition, and the 3' end, to which the tRNAs corresponding amino acid is attached (by aminoacyl-tRNA synthetases). tRNAs cope with the degeneracy of the genetic code in two manners: having more than one tRNA (with a specific anti-codon) for a particular amino acid; and 'wobble' base-pairing, i.e. permitting non-standard base-pairing at the 3rd anti-codon position.
Source: Rfam by way of RNAcentral